RNAcentral lists this transfer-messenger RNA (369 nucleotides) under Dolosicoccus paucivorans. Its description in RNAcentral is "Standard tmRNA". It matches the Rfam family "transfer-messenger RNA". From Rfam's summary of the family: Bacterial tmRNA, also known as 10Sa RNA or SsrA, is named for its dual tRNA and mRNA-like properties. The record is from Rfam by way of RNAcentral. Lineage: Bacteria; Bacillati; Bacillota; Bacilli; Lactobacillales; Aerococcaceae.
GGGGCUGUUUAGGUUUCGACAGGCAUCACUGCGCUAUGGAUGCGUCCGAAAGGGUUGCGUCUUUCUAAAAACGCAAAACAGUUAAAUAUAACUGCAAACAAAACAAACAAUUCUUUCGCUUUAGCUGCGUAAAACCAGCGAGCGAAGAUCAGCCUAGCAUCUCCCAUGUGCUAGAUCCUGGUCUCAAUUUAAGUGGGAUACGUCUUAGUUUUCCGUCUGUAAACUAAGAAAGAGAUGAUCAGACUCGCGAACGAUGGAUGCUUGUUUAAUGGCUAAAUCGUCGCUAAAACUUAAAUAAUUAAACUAUGGACGUAGAUUCUGUAGUAGUAGGAUGUCUGGACGCGGGUUCGACUCCCGUCAGCUCCAUUU